RNAcentral lists this ribosomal RNA (483 nucleotides) under uncultured bacterium. RNAcentral's name for it is "partial 16S ribosomal RNA". It matches the Rfam family "Bacterial small subunit ribosomal RNA", at positions 28 to 523 of the family's 1533-position model. The record is from RNAcentral.
GACGAACGCUGGCGGCGUGCUUAACACAUGCAAGUCAAACGAUGAAGCUGGAGCUUGCUCCGGUGGAUUAGUGGCGAACGGGUGAGUAACACGUGAGCAAUCUGCCCUUCACUCUGGAAUAACUGCGGGAAACUGUAGCUAAUACCGGAUACGAGACCUUGGGGCAUCCCAGGGUCUGGAAAGAAUUUCGGUGAAGGAUGAGCUCGCGGCCUAUCAGCUAGCUGGUGAGGUAAUGGCUCACCAAGGCGACGACGGGUAGCCGGCCUGAGAGGGUGACCGGCCACACUGGGACUGAGACACGACCCAGACUCCUACGGGAGGCAGCAGUGGGGAAUAUUGCACAAUGGGCGAAAGCCUGAUGCAGCAACGCCGCGUGAGGGAUGAAGGCCUUCGGGUUGUAAACCUCUUUUAGUAGGGAAGAAGCGCAAGUGACGGUACCUACAGAAAAAGCACCGGCUAACUACGUGCCAGCCGCCGCCGUAA